AAAAGAGAGAAGAAACCGACGCGAACAUCUCUCCUCCUCUGCUUCUCCCUCUCGGCAACCGGCGGGCUCGGAGUCGCACUCAUCGCCUUCUCAAUCGGCGCCGGCCUCUAUACCUGCUGCCAUAUAUCUAGAUAUAAAGUCUAUUUUGAGCAAGGAAAAAAGAUACAGUUUUGCUCUUUGAAAAACAUUUGAUACCUUGCUCUGUCCCCGUGGAUCCCCGAGGAAGAGGGGCUCUUCCAACAACCGGAGUGCCACCAAGAGUCGACAUCAUCAACGUCUCCAUUAGAAGCCGGAGAGUAUGAUCCAAGCAAACCGAGCCGCUAAAGAGACAGAGAGCUUAAGUGGAGAUGGGGAGGAGCAAAGUGUUGAGCGAGACGAAGAGGAGG
Molecule: long non-coding RNA, 386 nt
Organism: Zingiber officinale
Lineage: Eukaryota; Viridiplantae; Streptophyta; Magnoliopsida; Zingiberales; Zingiberaceae
Exons: 2
Source: RefSeq, a predicted model, not a curated record